AGUUUGUGAAAUACCAAAAUUGCCCUCGGAGGAAGUAAUCAAACCGGAUGAGUCUGUCCAAGAGGUCAAUGAGGAAGUUUGUGAAAUACCAAAAUUGCCCUCGGAGGAAGUAAUCAAACCGCAUGAGUCGGUCAAAGAGGUCAAUGAGGAAAUUUCUGAAAUACCAAACUUGCCCUCGGAGGAAGUAAUCAAACCGGAUGAGUUGAAAGCUGCAGAAACCAAGAACGGGGAAACUGAGCCUGUAAAAGAGGUUGUGGAAGAAGUGUCUGAAAUACCCAAAUUGCCCUCGGAGGAAGUAACCAAACAAGAAGAUGUCAACGAGAGCAAAAACCCGGAAAUCCCCCUGGUGGACGAGCCUGCAAAAGAGGUCAAUGAAGAAGCACUUGAAAACCCCAAAACGCCCCCGCCGGAGAACGCAACCAAGCCCGCCAAUGAAGAACCAGAACCGGUGGUCAAAGAUGCUGUUCCGGCGACUAAAGUGGAAGCAGGCGGCGGUGGUGGUGCUGCAGCAGAGAAUGGUUGUCCGGUGGCGGAGGAGAAGCCUUCAUGGGAGGAGAUAAAGAUAGAGUGACCGGUGAUUGUGGUGGCGGGGGCGGCGGUGGUGGUGGUGCCGCCUGCUCUCUAAGUUAGUGUUGUUUGUUUAUCAUCUUUCUUUUGGUGAANUGGUGGUGGUGGUGCUGCAGCAGAGAAUGGUUGUCCGGUGGCGGAGGAGAAGCCUUCAUGGGAGGAGAUAAAGAUAGAGUGACCGGUGAUUGUGGUGGCGGCGGCGGCGGUGGUGGUGGUGCCGCCUGCUCUCUAAGUUAGUGUUGUUUGUUUAUCAUCUUUCUUUUGGUGAAAAUCUUAUUGCUGACAGAGACAUUUCUGUAAUCUGUAUUCUGUGAUAGGAUUUAUUAAUUAGGAGUCAUGAAAAACUUUAACUUUAGCAACAUCAAAGGGACACAAGUGAAGUGACAUUUGUUGGGGGUAAAUCCGUCAACAAAGUAGUCAUUUAGUAUGGUUUGUUGUGGCCUUUGUUGUGUGUCUAUAGGCUUAUAUUAUUCUAGGUUACAGAGGUCAUGUUAAUGCCUGUAUCAUCGUUAUGUAAUAGGCAAACUCUUUUAUGAGCUUUUAACUUUUGCAUUUCCCUUGUUUUAUUGCACAAACAUUCUUGUGUUCUAUCACCAUUUGUGUUUGAUAAUCGUUGCAAAUUGCUUUCCUUUUGUGUUUUCUUAUUUUUUUGUGAUGAAUAUAGAACAUCAUGAUUCAUAUAAGAUGUAAAUUCUAGAUUCCAUUGAAUUAUCAAAGCGUUGAAAAAGGCAUCUUUGAAAGCAUAAAAGAUAUACAAAUAUAGGUUUUUAAUUUGAUCUCAUUACAAUCAAAGAUUGAUUUGGGAAUUUAUGAAAAUGAAAGGAAGAAUUUAAUUCAUGCAAAGCAAAUUGCUUCUCAUAUCAUAUGAACCCUAAAUUAGAAAACAAAAAAAAAAAAA
Molecule: long non-coding RNA, 1465 nt
Filed under: Lactuca sativa (garden lettuce)
Lineage: Eukaryota; Viridiplantae; Streptophyta; Magnoliopsida; Asterales; Asteraceae
Description: long non-coding RNA (LSAT_LNC005645)
Source: RNAcentral